RNAcentral lists this ribosomal RNA (496 nucleotides) under uncultured bacterium. RNAcentral describes it as "bacterial SSU rRNA". It matches the Rfam family "Bacterial small subunit ribosomal RNA", at positions 8 to 526 of the family's 1533-position model. The record is from RNAcentral.
AGAGUUUGAUCCUGGCUCAGGACGAACGCUGGCGGUGUGCUUAAUACAUGCAAGUCGAACGAUGAGGUUCCUUCGGGAACUAUCAGUGGCGGACGGCUGAGUAACACGUAGGUAACCUGCCCUUUACUGGGGGAUAACACCGGGAAACCGGUGCUAAUACCGCAUAAGACGUGAGCUGCAAUGCUUACGUUUAAAGAUUUAUUGGUAAAGGAUGGGCCUGCGUCUGAUUAGCUUGUUGGUAGGGUAAUGGCCUACCAAGGCAAUGAUCAGUAGUUGGUCUGAGAGGAUGACCAGCCAGAGUGGGACUGAGACACGGCCCACACUUCUACGGAAGGCAGCAGUAGGGAAUUUUGCGCAAUGGGCGAAAGCCUGACGCAGCAACACCGCGUGUAGGAUGAAGGUUUUCGGAUCGUAAACUACUGUCAGCAGGGAAUAAUUUUGACUGUACCUGCAGAGGAAGCAUCGGCUAACUACGUGCCAGCAGCCGCGGUAAGAC